RNAcentral lists this ribosomal RNA (264 nucleotides) under uncultured bacterium. Its description in RNAcentral is "partial 16S ribosomal RNA". It matches the Rfam family "Bacterial small subunit ribosomal RNA", at positions 90 to 354 of the family's 1533-position model. The record is from RNAcentral.
AGUUAGUGGCGGACGGGUGAGUAACGCGUGGGCAACCUGCCCCGUNCCGGGGGAUACCGCCUGGAAACAGGCGCUAAUACCGCAUAAGCGCAUACAGCCGCAUGGCAGUAUGCGGAAAGCUCCGGCGGCACGGGAUGGGCCCGCGCCCGAUUAGCCAGUUGGCGGGGUAACGGCCCACCAAAGCGACGAUCGGUAGCCGGCCUGAGAGGGCGGACGGCCACAUUGGGACUGAGACACGGCCCAAACUCCUACGGAAGGCAGCAG